GAGUUUGAUCAUGGCUCAGGAUGAACGCUAGCGGCAGGCUUAAUACAUGCAAGUCGAGGGGCAGCAGCUUUAUAGCAAUAUAGAGGCUGGCGACCGGCAAACGGGUGCGGAACACGUACACAACCUUCCUUGAAUAGGGGGAUAGCCCAUAGAAAUGUGGAUUAAUACCCCGUAAUAUAGCGGUGUGGCAUCACACUGUUAUUAUAGUUUCGGCGAUUCGAGAUGGGUGUGCGGCUGAUUAGGUAGUUGGCGGGGUAAAGGCCCACCAAGCCUUCGAUCAGUAGCUGAUGUGAGAGCAUGAUCAGCCACACGGGCACUGAGACACGGGCCCGACUCCUACGGGAGGCAGCAGUAAGGAAUAUUGGUCAAUGGACGCAAGUYUGAACCAGCCAUGCCGCGUGAAGGAUGAAGGUCCUCUGGAUUGUAAACUUCUUUUAUAGGGGGCGAAAAAAGGUCUUUCUAGAUCACUUGACAGUACCUU
RNAcentral lists this ribosomal RNA (481 nucleotides) under uncultured Bacteroidota bacterium. Its description in RNAcentral is "bacterial SSU rRNA". The record is from RNAcentral. Lineage: Bacteria; Pseudomonadati; Bacteroidota.